This 291-nucleotide ribosomal RNA is filed under the name uncultured bacterium. RNAcentral describes it as "partial 16S ribosomal RNA". It matches the Rfam family "Bacterial small subunit ribosomal RNA", at positions 505 to 796 of the family's 1533-position model. The record is from RNAcentral.
GUGUCAGCAGCCGCGGUAAUACGUAGGGGGCAAGCGUUGUCCGGAAUUAUUGGGCGUAAAGCGCGCGCAGGCGGCUUCUUAAGUUUGGUGUUUAAGCCCAGGGCUCAACCCUGGUUCGCACUGAAAACUGGGAGGCUUGAGUGCAGGAGAGGAAAGUGGAAUUCCACGUGUAGCGGUGAAAUGCGUAGAGAUGUGGAGGAACACCAGUGGCGAAGGCGACUUUCUGGACUGUAACUGACGCUGAGGCGCGAAAGCGUGGGGAGCAAACAGGAUUAGAAACCCGUGUAGUCC